Molecule: ribosomal RNA, 429 nt
Filed under: Chloroflexota bacterium
Lineage: Bacteria; Bacillati; Chloroflexota
Description: Chloroflexi bacterium partial 16S ribosomal RNA
Rfam family: Bacterial small subunit ribosomal RNA
Source: RNAcentral
UGGGGAAUAUUGCACAAUGGGCGCAAGCCUGAUGCAGCCAUGCCGCGUGUAAGAAGAAGGCCUACGGGGUGUAAAGUACUUUCAGCGGGGAGGAAGGGAGUAAAGUUAAUACCUUUGCUCAUUGACGUUACCCGCAGAAGAAGCACCGGCUAACUCCGUGCCAGCAGCCGCGGUAAUACGGAGGGUGCAAGCGUUAAUCGGAAUUACUGGGCGUAAAGCGCACGCAGGCGGUCUGUCAAGUCGGAUGUGAAAUCCCCGGGCUCAACCUGGGAACUGCAUCUGAUACUGGCAAGCUUGAGUCUCGUAGAGGGGGGUAGAAUUCCAGGUGUAGCGGUGAAAUGCGUAGAGAUCUGGAGGAAUACCGGUGGCGAAGGCGGCCACCUGGACGAAGACUGACGCUCAGGUGCGAAAGCGUGGGGAGCAAACAGG